Molecule: long non-coding RNA, 4304 nt
Filed under: Sus scrofa (pig)
Lineage: Eukaryota; Metazoa; Chordata; Mammalia; Artiodactyla; Suidae
Description: lncRNA (ENSSSCG00015070166.1)
Rfam family: tRNA (bases 2940-3011)
Source: RNAcentral
ACCGUACAGUUAAUCCCUUUCUCUCAUGCCCUGUGUGAGGGAACUGCUCUGGUUUUAUCUCCAGUGGACGAAUCUGGAAGUCUGGAGUUGCUUCACUGGAGGGCUUCUUUGCCAGGCUGAGGCUGGGAGGGGUGGAGAGUUCAUGGGAGAAUCGUGCAUGUUGGCUGCUCUGCCUUCCAGGAGACUUCAGAGAUAGAGAUGGGGCUUAGGAUGGGUUGCGUGCCUCACAGCUUGCUGCUCUGGUUAGUGAGAUGCUACAGUUCCACUGAUGUAAGCAGCAGCCAGAUCUCUACUCCAAGUCGGAUGCUUGCCUGGCUUUUGGGGUCCAGUUUCAAUGCUCUGCUCAGAACCUCUGCUCUUUCCCCCCUCUUAGGCCCUCCUUGCUUGGCCCUGCCCUGGGUGGGCUUCUGAGGACCAAGCAGAGCCUGGGGACAGGACAGGAAGGCUGUCAGGUACGUGGAGGGAGAGUCAGGGGUUCCUCCCUAAAGAGGACUCAGAAUGGGACAGAGAUCCCUGAAUGGAGGCUUUUUGCUGCCUGCAGUUCAGACUUUGGCCUCCUUGCCUCCCAGCUUCGGGGAUUGGUUUUAUCCCACACUCACUCUGUAAAAAACUUGGCCUGUCCUUCCUUGGGACUUGGAAAUCCCCGAGACCCUUGGCCCCAGCACCUCCAUCCUCAGAGUGGCGCUGGCUGGUCAGUGUCAGACCAAAGCCUGGUGGGGUUGAUGAGAACAGGGCCUGGAGGAGAAAAGAGAGCACCCAGAAGAAAGAGGCUUUGGACUCUCUCUUGGGAAAUGGGCCUAAAGGGAUGGGAAAGGAAAGUGGCUCCUGAUUCAUCCCCUAAGACAGCUCCCUGUGGGUUGGCUCAGCCAAAGAAGAUUCUUAGACACUGCCUGGGCUCUGGGGAGUUGUCUGAGCCAGAUACCCACAGAACAAUGAUUUCGAGACUUGAUGGAACCUCUACCCACUUCCCCUUCCAAGGAUCCUCCAACUGGUUGGGUGGGUCAGGUCUUUUAGUGAAACCAGCUGUGGUGUAGCUCUUCCCAUCAUGGUUGGCAAAUGAGCCAGACUGAGUGGCCCUGUUCUCACUGUAGGCUCUGUUGCUUCCAGAAGGUCAUGUUGCUUGCCCCUCUGCUCCCUGAGCCCCACCAGAGGCAGGGGCCCUGCUUAUAGCUCACCUCAUUUUACCUAUAUUGCGCCCUGUUGCUUCUGCCUGUUCACUUAUCCGGCACCUUUAUGAGUCAUGGUUCCUGUCUGGUCACCUCUGAGUCCCCAGCACCUCUCAGGUCAUGUCUGGAAGAUUAAUGUGUGGGUCCCCCAACGGUGACCAUGAAGUUGCAGAUGGGCCAGGGCCUUGGGGAGAGGGGCUGGUAAGGGAGCUCAAGGAGGGGCCAGAGACCAGGCAGGCUAGGUGUCCUGAGGCAGCCAGAGUGAGCCGGGUGGACCAGUCUGGGGCCCUUUCUGUCUCCGACUCAGCCUUCCCCACCUCCCACACUGACUCAGCCACGAGACCAAACUGUGCGAACAAAUGGUCCUGAUGGUCCAGGGGCCAGGACGGAAUCCCCCCAGACAGGCUGGCCAAAGGGUCCCUGUCCCUGACUUCCUCAGUCGGCAGGGAGCCACAGGGUAGCUGAGGGGGCGGAGGGGAGAGGCUGGGGGCAGGGCUACCACCGGGGGCGUGGCCGAGGGGAGAGGUGCUGAGGGCAGGGGAGCCAGGCCUGGUUGGCCUUUGAAGGGCAGGCCUUCCUGGGGUGGACACUUUAAUCGCCCCCAAUUAAACCAUUGCCGGAAGCUUUUAACAGCCCCAUACGGCCUUUCAAGGACUGUCCUUUUGUUAGACAGCCAAGCUGUUAUGCAAAAAGAGAGCGGGCUGGGGGCCUCUGACCACUCACCCCAGGCCCCAAGGCCAGCCUGCCCCAAACUCCGGGCCAGCCUCUAAAGAGUCUGCUUGUUUGCGAAUCAAAGGCUGGGGAACCAGCUUUGAUCUGGGGAAACCCAGCCCUUCCCCGCCUUUCCAGCCUCAGUCCCCUCUCUGAGGGGGGUGGGGUGGGGGGAGCCUUUGACUAGGCCUUCACCCCCAUACAUUCUGGGUCUGGGGCCAACCAGGCUGAUCCCUGGGGUCCUGGGAGCCUGUCCCUUCCUUCAAGAAACGGGUCUGCUGGGACAGUAAGAACUUUCCGUGCUCCCCCUGCCCCCCCCUCAGGCAAGGAAGCCCUGGCCCCACCUCCUAUAGCUGCCCAGCGGUCUUCUAGGCCUUUUGACAGAGUGGAGGAGUCCUCAGAGGGGUGCCGCCUGGGACUCUGUGCGAAAUGCAGAUUCUCAGGCCCCAACCCUGACCCGGGAGGCGAAGUCUGAAAACUACUGCUGUAGCACUUCGAGUAUUUCUCCUCCUCUCGGCCUCUCCUCUCCCACUUCCCCUCAACAAAAAAAGGCAAGAUUAGUGUAGAAGUAACAUUAGCCAUAAUAAGUUAUGGACAACAUAACUCUCUGCUUGCUAAACCCUCUAUAGCAUAUCAUUUCUAAAAAGUGAACAACAAAGCCAGGGAUCGAACCCACAACCUCACGGUUCCUAGUCGGGGUCGUUUCCGCUGUGCCACGACGGGAACUUCUGGUGCACAUCUUUAGUACCUGGAAGUCCAAAGGGGGCUAAAAUCUAUUUUGUUUUCCCUCUGAGAUCCUACAGUGGGCUCAGCACCCAGAGAAAGACAGCAGCCUGUCAAGGCAGGCAGGGUGUUCAGAACUCCGUGGAGCUGUGGCUCAUCAAUGGUGCCUUUCGGAGCAGGGGUCGGCAAAGGUCUUCUGUGAAGGGCCAAAUGGGAACCCUUGUAGGCUGGUCCCUGUCACUACGACUCAGCUCUGCCACUGUAGUUCACGAAAAAGCCAUCAAAGAGAUCUAAAUGAAUGGGUGUUGGUGUGCGCCAAGAAAACUUUAUUAAGGGAGUUCCCUGGUGGUCUAGUGGUUAGGACUCAGUGCUUUUACCGCUGCAGCCUGGGUUCAAUCCCUGGUCUGGGAACUGAGAUCCCACAUCAAGCUGCUGCAUGCCAUGAUGAAAACAACCACCACACCACCAUGUCCAAUAAAACGUUAUUAAUGGACACUGAAAUGUUAGUUUCCUGUGAUUUUCACAUGUGCCAAAAUCUUAUGUUUCUUUUGAUCCCCCCCCCGCCCCCGGUCAUGUGAAAACCAUUUUUAGCUCUCAAGCUGUAGAAAAACAGAUAGUGGGCAGAAUUUGGCCUUCAGGCCCGUAUAGUUUGCUGGCACCUGGUUUAGAGCAAAGGUUUUGAGGUCGGUUGUCAGUCUUGAAUUUAAGUCUCGGUUAUUUCACUAACCAGCUAGGUAAUCUGGGGGACGUUACGGAACCUCGCUGAGCCUGUGUCUUCCCUUUCAAUGGGGUUGCCUCGUCUGUCUUUCAGGGAGUGGGCAUGUGGGAGCACUUACCAGCCUCGGUGACUGACAGGAGGCAGGAACGCCCUAAAUGUGAGCCUAGAGCUUUGCAGCAGGCUGGUUGGAGGUCAGUGCGAGCGGGCUAUGAGGCUGGAGAGGUCAGGAGACCCUUCCGGGAGGGAGGAAGUCUGGGGUAAGUUGGGCCUUGAGUGCCUUGAGAGGUGCAGCGAUAGAGGAGGGGAAAGAUGGAGAGGUCAGGCCAAAGAAAUUCUCCUUAACGUCAUUAAAAAGUCUACAAACAAAUGCUGGAGAGGGUGGGGAGAAAAGGCAAUCCUUCUACACUGCUGGCAGGAAUGUAAAUUGGUGUGGCCACUAUAGAGAACAGGACGGAGGGUUCCUUAAAACACUAAAAAUAACAUUGCCAUAGGAUCUAGCAAUCCCACUCCUGGACAUAUAUCCAGAAAAUGCUAAUUUGAAAUGAUACAUGCAUCUCAAUGUUCACUGCAGCACUAUUUACAAUAGCCAAGACAUGGAAGCAACCUCCAUGUCCACCAACAGGGGACUGGACAGAGAAGAUGUAAUAUAUCUGUAUAUAUCACAUAAUAUAUUUGCAGCAACAUGAGUGGACCUAGACAUUAUCAUACUAAGUGGAGUAAGUCAGAAAGAGAAAGACAAAUACUAUUGAUAUCACUUAUUUGUAGGAUCUAAAAUAUGACACAAAUGAACCUGUUUACCAAAUGGAAACAAAUUCACAGACAGGAAACAAACUUACAGUAACCAAAGGGGAAAGGGGAUGAGGGAGGGAGAUAUUAGGAGUUUGAGAUAAUAUAUAACUUGGAUACACAACAGAGUCCUACUGUAUAGCACAGGGAACUAUACUCAAUAUCCUGUAAUAAACCGUAGCGGAAAAUAAUAUCAAAAA